AACUGAAGAGUUUGAUCAUGGCUCAGAUUGAACGCUGGCGGCAGGCUUAACACAUGCAAGUCGAGCGGGGGAAGGUAGCUUGCUACUGGACCUAGCGGCGGACGGGUGAGUAAUGCUUAGGAAUCUGCCUAUUAGUGGGGGACAACAUCUCGAAAGGGAUGCUAAUACCGCAUACGUCCUACGGGAGAAAGCAGGGGAUCUUCGGACCUUGCGCUAAUAGAUGAGCCUAAGUCGGAUUAGCUAG
This 244-nucleotide ribosomal RNA is filed under the name Acinetobacter baumannii. Its description in RNAcentral is "partial 16S ribosomal RNA". It matches the Rfam family "Bacterial small subunit ribosomal RNA", at positions 1 to 248 of the family's 1533-position model. The record is from RNAcentral. Lineage: Bacteria; Pseudomonadati; Pseudomonadota; Gammaproteobacteria; Moraxellales; Moraxellaceae. RNAcentral also lists the same sequence under 1 other name.